This is a long non-coding RNA of Ornithodoros turicata, 2892 nucleotides long. RefSeq lists it as uncharacterized. The transcript is spliced from 3 exons. The record is from RefSeq and is a predicted model, not a curated record. Lineage: Eukaryota; Metazoa; Arthropoda; Arachnida; Ixodida; Argasidae.
GCAAGCCUAUAGAUCCUGUGUGCAGUCUGUGCUUGAAUAUGCAGAUGCAGUGUGGGAUCCUUAUACUGGCCCGAAUAUCAAAAUAGAAGCUGUUCACGCACAGGCAAUACGUUCAUUUUUAAAUAUAAUAUGGGCCAAAUACAUGUUAGUUAUCUGUUCACAGUAGCAGAAAUUGGCAUCGUGCACCAUCUGUCAUGCACUUGUAUGCAAAUUGUAACACAGGGGCAUAUCCAGUAUUUUCCUCUACGGAUUCUAGCCUCAGACACAAUGCUAGUCACAUGAUCACGUGUCAAUUUCAUUUCAUUUAUUUAACCCUUAAAGGCCCGAGGGCAUUACAUAAGGGGGGGAAUUAAACGCUUUGUCAAGACAGAAACAUAGCAGAGGGGCAGGAUAUCUGGACUCCCCCUUUAAAUCCACAUCUAAAGUAACAUGAUCAGAAAACACAUCCAUCUUUACCACAAAGUCGAUGCUACACCAAUCAGAAGCUACUAAAUUGGUAUAAUCCCAACAGGUGCCUUUUGCACUCAUUUCUCCCUUGCACCUUAUUCGCAUUGAAUGCCUUGCCUAAUAAAAUAGGUGCAUCAAUCUCAGUUGAUGCAUUUUGAAAAAGUUUUAAAUAGAAUAUGUUUGAUGAUAAAUGUGUUAUCGUGUUAAAGUAGUAAGGUAUAAUGUUAUGGUGGCUAUAUGCUACGCUAUUGUAUCGCAACCCUACAUCGCCAAGUAGGCUGUAGUAUUGGUAAAUAAAAGAAGGUCAAGUUAGUUCUGUCCAAAGCGUAAGGUGGCAACAGCACGUGACUUACGCACUGUGCAAUAGCACAGGACGUUCGUUAUAGGCCUGCAGUGGAACAUAUUGAAAACUAUCGCAUUAUCUUGUCAAUAAGACGACGCCCAAGGGAGAGAGCACUACAAACACAAAUAGGCGUACCAGAUAACAUAGACAGGCUAUAAUUGCAUAAGAUGCUUCACAGCGGUGCAAGUAAACGUCACCCAUCUACCAACCCACAAAAAGAAAGCGGACACAUGUCACAGCGGUGUGAACGCGGUAAUACCGUGAUAGCGGCAGCUCACCAUACCCACAAUCAACCAAAACAAAGCACAGGCGUAGAGCGCCAUGGCGCUUUGACGAAGUGUACACACAGAACCAGAACACACAGGCAGCUGAUAAUUGCAGAAUAUUGAAUCUUCACAGCGGUGCUAAGAGGUACAAGUAAACACCUUCACCCAUCUACCAACACACCAGCAAGAAAGCGGAUCCAUAACUUGCUACCUCCCUAUCCUUAAAGGGACUGUCGCAUCCGGAACCGUGGUUACGAAUCCAAUACCAAUGUGUUCGGUACACUACCACCGAGCUAUUUGCCAAAUUUUCUCCUUCCAAAACGGACCGGGUGAUGAGGAAUCGCAUUUAAAAGAUCCGGUUUCGUUUUGAUCCUCGAAAGCGCCAGCGCCAACAACAUCGCGUGACGCAAGGUGGAAUCUAGCUAAUCCGCUGUGAAGGACGCUGUCGUCUGCCGCCAAGUCUGGGGCUGCUUUGUUUUUUUCCGGCACGUCGCCCCUAUUCACAUGUCACACUUUCUAGUGACGCGGAUACUAUCUCUACGCUUGCAUCCUUCGCGUGAGAUGUCGUUUGGAAACCGACGCAGCGUUCCUGACUCCAGGAAAACUUCCUUCGAAAACCUCGAUGUUUGAUUUCGCACGCCAAGGAUACAGCUACAGCCAGACCCCAGACGAAGCGAAAGUUGGAAGCAGCUACAUCACUAGCGGGUAUCCAGAUGAAGCAAGGAGUGUUCAUGCUGUCCGUGUAUGCUCCUCGCAUUUCACCGAUAAUGUGUACCUGGAUGAGAACAUCAUGCAAGUGCAACUUGGAUUGACACAAAAAAGGAACGAAUUGAAACUUGACGCCGUUCCGACAGUGUUCCACGAACAAAGCGAGCCAGCAACUUCGACAAUCCCGAACUGCCCCAACGAUGUUCGUGACCAGGAGCGGAGGCCGCAUUGCGGACUUCUUGGAGGAGGUUGACCAGCUACCCCCCAGCGUGCGCGUCGUCGUCCUGCACUGUGGGACAAACGACAUGCCAUACAGCGACCCCGACUCGGCCAUCCGGCACUACGUGCAGCUUCUGGAUCACAUUCGUUCCCGCGGGAACAUCGAUCUUGUGGCGCCGUGAGUUCCAAUGUAACCCGCGGGCGUACGGCUUCAACAUGCGGCUGCGAGACCUGUGCAAGCGAUCGCCGGACCUCUACUUUCUGGACCACGGCUUUCAUCGACAACCCCCGACGAGAGUCCUAGCAGCCGACGGCCUGCACCCUAACUUCGAGGGAGUCCGGCAGAUAGCACACCGAGUGCGAACCCUACUGCCCCGGCUUCUACGUCGGCUGCCUGUCCACAAGGAAGGAGUCACCGGGACGCCUGAUCCAGUAUGGCCCACAAUCCAGGAAGCAGCAGCGAGCAGUCGGAGCCACGUCCACGUUCAGAAGACGUCUAAGAAGCAGGAUUGACUAACCGGUGAGUCUGAACCAAUUUAUCCCGGCGAAACUACUAGCAGUGACACUCAGGCGUUUUUCCAACUCAGAAAAAUCGCGGACAAAAUUGCGCGCUACUCCUCUCACCUUAAUACUCUUGUAACAUAUGAAAGGAGUGGAAAAUGCCCGCGAGGACUGCAGAUUCGUAAGAUAUCUACGUUCCCUCUUAACCAAAACCUUGAAAAAGAGUGGUUAUCAACCCUGCACAAUACGUCCCAAGCCCUAACCAAAAUACUAAUUAUGCAGUGUCAAGAUACAAUAAAUUCCCUGUCAGAGGAGGCAAACACCGUCUCAAACGAAACCACCUUAUCUGAGUCUCAUAGAGCAGAACUAGACGAGUUCUUUCAAAAGAAACGUGUGAGCCUAAAACUA